This 252-nucleotide ribosomal RNA is filed under the name uncultured Bacteroidales bacterium. Its description in RNAcentral is "partial 16S ribosomal RNA". It matches the Rfam family "Bacterial small subunit ribosomal RNA", at positions 524 to 776 of the family's 1533-position model. Lineage: Bacteria; Pseudomonadati; Bacteroidota; Bacteroidia; Bacteroidales. The record is from RNAcentral.
UACGGCGGAUGCGAGCGUUAUCCGGAUUUAUUGGGUUUAAAGGGUGCGCAGGCGGUCUGUUAAGUCAGCGGUCAAAGCCCGGGGCUCAACCCCGGCCCGCCGUUGAAACUGGCAGUCUCGAGUUGGAGAGAAGUGUGCGGAAUGCGCGGUGUAGCGGUGAAAUGCAUAGAUAUCACGCAGAACCCCGAUUGCGAAGGCAGCAUACCGGCGCGCAACUGACGCUCAUGCACGAAAGCGUGGGUAUCGAACAGG